UGGGGAAUAUUGCACAAUGGGCGCAAGCCUGAUGCAGCAACGCCGCGUGAGGGACGACGGCCUUCGGGUUGUAAACCUCUUUUAGUAGGGAAGAAGCGAAAGUGACGGUACCUGCAGAAAAAGCACCGGCUAACUACGUGCCAGCAGCCGCGGUAAUACGUAGGGUGCAAGCGUUGUCCGGAAUUAUUGGGCGUAAAGAGCUCGUAGGCGGUUUGUCACGUCUGCUGUGAAAACCCCGAGGCUCAACCUCGGGCCUGCAGUGGGUACGGGCAGACUAGAGUGCGGUAGGGGAGAUUGGAAUUCCUGGUGUAGCGGUGGAAUGCGCAGAUAUCAGGAGGAACACCGAUGGCGAAGGCAGAUCUCUGGGCCGUAACUGACGCUGAGGAGCGAAAGCAUGGGGAGCGAACAGGAUUAGAUACCCUCGUAGUCCCUGAGCGGGCUGGCAAGGCGCAU
Molecule: ribosomal RNA, 453 nt
Filed under: uncultured bacterium
Lineage: Bacteria
Description: bacterial SSU rRNA
Rfam family: Bacterial small subunit ribosomal RNA
Source: RNAcentral